AUCCCAGUGAGUAGACAGACAUCAUCAAAAUAAUCUAAAGUCGAGUAAUAGGAGACAAUUAAAAUAAUUCAUCCCAACCCAUAUAAAUAAUUGGAUUUCAUCCAAUUACUCAAUAUGGCUUAUGUACUUUUCAAAAACUUAGCCCUUACCAAAAAUCCAUUCUCGGGGAUACCCCGCGAAGGCAUCUUACCGAGACCGCCAAGGCUGUUUAUUGUCACACACACAAACACAUUUCACCUCUAACAACACAGUCGUUCCUCGUCGUUGGCUGAGUCCCAGUUUCACGUGGUGGCCAGCGUGAAGUGUACUCAAAUCCUACCUCGGGAGUUAUCCUACGCGCCUCUCCAAUUGAGGUAAGCUCAAUAAUUGAGAAUCGUGCCCCUCUAAUUAGGCUGACCCACGGAACCCCCGUCACUGCAGUGCCCACUUUAUAAUCCACAAACCAAUAAAAUCACAAUAGUAUAACAUGGCUCACUUAACACAUUCAAGGCAAAUCAAAGCAGUUCACAUAUUCUUAAAAUCAUAAAAAUAACCAAUCAUACCCACAUUUAUCAUAAGCCAUUUAAUGUAAAAUCAUAGAUAAACAACACAAUCAUAGUAUAGGUCUCCAAUUACUCUAUUUUUGAAAUCAUUAUUAAAUUUUCAAAAAUUUUAUAAAAUUAUUUUAUAAAAUCCCAUUUUUCCAUAAAACACAAUAAUUUUCCAAUUAAACCAUUUUUUCAUAAAAUCACACAAUUAAAUAAAUCUACUCUAGAUAAUUAAGACGAUAGUAAGUUUACUCACCGUACUAGGAGUAGAUAUACUCCUAUUCUCGGUCCUCGGGUGUAGUCUUUUACUUGUAUCAGAUAGCUCACCACCUAUCCACAAUACAUGACACAAAAAAUUCAAUAAUUUGUGUCAAAUCAAUAUAUAUUAUUUCAGGCUCUUAUCAAUGUGUAUGCACUAGAUAGGGUGUGAAAUGUUUGGACAAUUGCUUAAUCACAAUAUCCGACCUAACUCGCCUAUACACGGUGUAAAUUUCUAAAAUCUCCAAUUCAACUCCAAUUCCAUCCAUUUCAAUUUCAAUUAUCCAAUUAUAUCCACAAUACCUCAAUGAUUGUGAAUGUGGUCCAAUUUAUCAGUUCGGACCACAAAUUACGCUUUUACCCCUAGUGGGUAAAAAUUUUAAUUUUUUUGCACCAAAAAUUUCCAUUAAAUUUCCAACCUCAUAAUUCAUCAUUUUUCCAUCUAAUUCUCUUAAAAUAAAGUCAACCUCAUCUUCACACACCAUUGGUUAGAUUCGGCCUAGAGAAAUUCAUGGAGAAAAUGAAUAUUUUUCUUGUUGUUUUACUCAUAAACAUGCUAAACUAACACUAAACACUAACAUAGUUCAAAAUCAAAUUAAUCUAACAACUUUCUCUCUCUAAACCCAUAUGAUCAGAUUUGAAUCCAUCAUCAAAACACAUAAUUUAACCAUAGAAAAUAAGGAGAAAUGCAUGGAAAUGAUAAAUCUUAAGCUAAGCUUGAAAAAUCAUACCUUUAAACACUUGAUUCCUUGAAAAAUCACACUUUUUCUUUGAAUUUUCUCACUCUAGGGUUUGUUCUUAUUUCUCUCUCUCUCCUGCUGGUUUUGGCUGACCCUCCCAAUGAAGAAUUCUGGAAUUUUCAAGCCUUUUAAUAGGCUUAAUAAAAUAUUAUUAUUUUAUUUACCUUUUGAAUAUUUUAUUAUUUUAUUUUUUUCUAGUCAUCUUUUUGACUUUAUUUUUCUACCACUCAAUCCUCUUCACUUAUCCAUGUCUUCCAUGAAAUUUCUAGACUUUUCCAAAGUUUUGGUGGGGUAAAUUUUUAAAAAUUACACUUUUACCCCCGUAAAGUGAAAAAUUACAUUUUUGCCCCAAAAACUGAAAAAUUGCCCAUAGACAUAUUUUUCAUCCCUUAUACUCAUACCAUUCUCCAAUUUGUCAAAUGUGAUCUAAGUUCUCUCAAAAUCUCAAAAUUUAUCCGUGAGUGGAAAAAUUACGAUUUUGCCCCUAGAUAGUGAAAAUUUCGGUUUGACUCCAAAUUGAUCCUCGAACUCCGAAUUACCAUUUUGAGUCAUCCCUGAACUGUGAAACUCUUAAUUUCACCUUAAAAUUCCUAUUUGAACUAGUUCGAGGCUUAAUCGACUCAAUGGUACCAUUAGGGGCAAUAUCGUCUUUUAACAAUUUCUCGAACUUCCUAAAUAUACAAACAUUCUAUCGAGCAUGUAAAUGACGUAAUAAUUAUUUUACAAAGCAGGGUUUGACAACACUACCCCCCUUAAAAAAAAAAUUUUGUCCCCAAAAUUUCACUUAUCAAACUCCAAGAAAAGAUAGGGGUAUUAGCUUUUAUCCAAUGUUCAACAUCUCAUGUCAUCUCCUUCGUUUGAGCAUUCUUCCACAAUCCUUUAACUAUUGAGAUGUUCUUUUCGUUGCUCUACCUACAUCACUCAUCAUACAUGAAAUUUAAAUCUUGAACCACUCAGGAUCAUUCUUCACUUUAGUUACCCAUAUUACUAAUCCCUACACAUGUGGGGUUGCACUUUCAUUCUCAUCAAUGCCUCAAAGAUUCAUCUUUCAUGUCUUAUGCAUUUCUGAACUCCAAUUUCCACAAUACAUUAAGAAAAUUCCAUAGCGAUAUUUUACAUAAACUCAUUUAUUAUAUUAUUCUUAAAAGCUUUAUUUACACUCUCAGAACUUAGUAUUUACAUCUCUUAUCAUUAUCUUACAUUUCCACCUAACUUUUCAUUCACUUUCUCUAGGUUGGACUCGUGCUUCAUCUUCCAUUACCGUAAAAACUUUUGUUGACGCACGAGUCAGUGGUUUGGAAGGUGGGUAUACUGGGGUGUUACUCUCCACAUCAGGCCGAAUAGCUACUCCCUGUCUCGGUUGUGCUCCAGAGGAAUCUCUCAUCUGCAAGUCCGUACGAGUUGAUGAAGAUAGAGCAGCUACAGUGGCCUGUCCUAACUGUGGACAAUUAGUUCUAAAGUGACCCGUCUGGCCACAAUGAAAACAUCGCAAAGGCCCCCAACACACCCCGCCAUGAAAUCUUCCACAUUCUCUACAUCUAUCAAAACCUCCGAAACUUUUUUCAGAAGUAGUCACUGCAGAUCCGCUGAAUCUCGGAGGCCUCUGCUGCAUUUGUGAAAAUGAUGGUCGAGAGGAUGUUACCGAAACAGAAGGAGCACUCCCUGAAACAAAUGAGCCUUUGCUCCUCUUUAGUGGCUGACUAGAGGACAUAUUCGGAUUUUUCCUUUUUGCCAACUCAGCUCGCAUUCUCCUAUUUUCAUUUGCGAGCUUCUCAGCCCUUAAGGCCAUUUGUACUACCUCUUUAUGGGGCUCCCUACCUGUCACAGUCAUUCGCUCUCUUAUCUCAUUGCGGAGCCCUUCCUCGAAAUAAUCGGCCUGAUCCUGUUCAGUCCUCACUAAAUCAGGCACAUAAGACAACAGCUCGUUAAAUUGAGUCUCAUACUCUUCUACAGUUAAAUUCCCCUGCUUCAGACUCAAAAAUUCUCUCUUCUUCUCUUUUUGAUGGAAAUGGGUAUAAUAUUGACUAUCAAAUUCCCUCAGAAAGUCUGACCAAGUUAGGAGAAUAGUGGAACGGGACUUCACUGAAUUCCACCAUGUACGGGCUCUCUUCUCCAAUAACCUCGUAGCCACUAUCAGCUUCAUCUCAUCCUCCAAUCUCAUAUCAGAGAGUGUCUCUGAAACCUGAUUAAUCCAAUCCUUAGCUGCGGUGGCGUCCAACUCACCCACAAAGGACACGCAACCCAGUUGUCUAGCCUCCUUCAGCUUUUUAGAAAUAGAGACAUCAUGUGCCAAUGGAACUGAAGGAGUAACUGGUGGCACUACAGGUGGGACCUGACUAGUCUGAGCUUGACCAGCCAUUGCGGUAAAGAAGGCUGCCAUUGCCUGGAUUACCUCAGAAGACACGGCAGGAAUGCCAGUAGGUGGCGGAGGAAUCUCUACCGGUUCAGCAGCAAGUGUUGCUCGAAAAGGAGACACAGUCGAUUCCUCUCCUCUAAGGUCUGGCUGACCCUGCCUAAGACGACCUCUGCCCCUCCUAGCUGAUCUAGUAGGGAGUGGGCGCUCACGUCGAGGAGGCAUGGUAAUCUAAAAAGGAAACGAGGCAAGUUUAAGUAAUCUCAAACUCUACAUACAUGCAACUCUACCUAACCCAACUUAACUUAACCUAGUUUAACUCAACCCGGGGCCACACAGUGCCAGUGUGAAUUCUUAAAAUAACUAUAAAAAUCAAAAACUUUAAAACCAUGCUUUGUUAACCAAAAGCUCUGAUACCAAUCGAAUUGUCACGACCCGGAACUCCCAUCGAGCCCGUGACAACCACCGCGAAGCCUCGACAGACAUUCUUCCCCCGAAUGCCCUUCGAGACCUCGCAAGGCUUUCGUACCAGUUUUUCCAUUUUUCUCUCUUGUUUUCUUUUUUUUUUUUUUGAAUAAUAAAAUAAACUAAAAAUAUUAAUUAAAAUAAUCUAUUUUAAUGUAAAAAUAUAUAUAUAUAUGUAUAUUUUUGAAACAUCAAAAAAUUAAUUUUCUGCACAUAAAAAUAAAAUAAAUUUAUACAUACUAUAAUAUAGAAAACUAGAGUAUGCAAUUUAAAUUACAAUGACACGUGAGCCCCCAAAUAACUGAGAAGGUUUAAGUCUAUAACCUUGCUUUCUAAGAUGCAACUCCGAAAUUUACUUCUCGAUGCAAUUGACAGUCUACUGCCUAUUCUGAGCCUGAAAAAUGUAUAGGAAGAAGGGGUGAGAUUAUAAAAUCCCAGUGAGUAGACAGACAUCAUCAAAAUAAUCUAAAGCCGAGUAAUAGGAGACAAUUAAAAUAAUUCAUCUCAACCCAUAUAAAUAAUUGGAUUUCAUCUAAUUACUCAACAUGGCUUAUGCACUUUUCAAAAACUUGGCCCUUGCCAAAAAUCCAUUCUCGGGGAUACCUCGCGAAGGCAUCUUACCGAGACCGCCAAGGCUGUUUAUUGUCACACACACAAACACAUUUCACCUCUGACAACACAGCCGUUCCUUGGCGUUGGCUGAGUCCCAAUUUCACGUGGUGGCCAGCGUGAAGUGUACUCAAAUCCUACCUCGGGAGUUAUCCUACGCGCCUCUCCAAUCGAGGUAAGCUCAAUAAUUGGGAACCGUGCCCCUCUAAUUAGGCUGGCCCACGGAACCCCCGUCACUGCAGUGCCCACUUUAUAAUCCACCAACCAAUAAAAUCACAAUAGUAUGACAUGGCUCACUUAACACAUUCAAGGCAAAUCAAAGCAGUUCACAUAUUCUUUAAAUCAUAAAAAUAACCAGUCAUACCCACAUUUAUCAUAAGCCAUUUAAUGUAAAAUCAUGGAUAAACAACACAAUCAUAGUAUAGGUCUCCAAUUACUCUAUUUUUGAAAUCAUUAUUAAAUUUUCAAAAAUUUUAUAAAAUUAUUUUAUAAAAUCCCAUUUUACCAUAAAACACAAUAAUUUUCCAAUUAAACCAUUUUUCCAUAAAAUCACACAAUUAAAU
Molecule: long non-coding RNA, 5515 nt
Filed under: Theobroma cacao (cacao)
Lineage: Eukaryota; Viridiplantae; Streptophyta; Magnoliopsida; Malvales; Malvaceae
Description: long non-coding RNA (TCAC_LNC002944)
Source: RNAcentral